This 527-nucleotide unclassified non-coding RNA is filed under the name Hevea brasiliensis (rubber tree). The record is from RNAcentral. Lineage: Eukaryota; Viridiplantae; Streptophyta; Magnoliopsida; Malpighiales; Euphorbiaceae.
ACGGAACCAACCAAGCCUAUUCGCUUGUUGAAAAUUGAAACUCCCAAAACUCAUUUCCCUCGGUCACCGUAACUGAAACUCCGGCCACCUAGAUGGCCACCUCCACUUCGUCAGUAUUUUUCGUAAUUAAUCAGAGACCACUUCAAUCACCAGCUCCGUUCUCUCCCAAAUCAUGCUACAGGAAAUUGAGUUUCAAGAGGCUUCAUCAAUCUCACCGAGUUUCCUGCGAUUACUCUUGCGUCGAAGUUAGGGGUGUUAGCUAUAGGCCUCCGGGAACCCAGCUCAACCUUCUAAAUGAAGUUAGUUUUUCUCUUCCAGAGAAGAGUUUUGGAUUGAUUUUUGGACAGAGUGGGAGCGGUAAAACUACUCUCUUGCAGCUUCUUGCUGGGCUAAGUGAACCAACAUCAGGUUCCAUUGGCAUUCAAAGAUAUGGGAAUGAUGGCAAUCCAUGUCAUUCUCCUGAACCACUACCUCCAGAAAAAGUUGGUAUUGUCUUUCAGUUUCCGGAGAGCUAGGUAUUUUGUGGC